This 374-nucleotide ribosomal RNA is filed under the name uncultured bacterium. RNAcentral's name for it is "bacterial SSU rRNA". It matches the Rfam family "Bacterial small subunit ribosomal RNA", at positions 29 to 430 of the family's 1533-position model. The record is from RNAcentral.
AACGAACGCUGGCGGCAGGCCUCAAACAUGCAAGUCUAGGGGGUGCAGCAAUGCAUCACCGGCGGACGGGUGCGUAACGCGUGGGAAUAUACCUUUUGGUUCGGAACAACUGCGGGAAACUGCAGCUAAUACCGAAUGUGCCCUAACGGGGAAAGAUUUAUCGCCAAAGGAUUAGCCCGCGUAGGAUUAGCUAGUUGGUGAGGUAAUGGCUCACCAAGGCUCCGAUCCUUAGCUGUUCGAGAGGAAGAUCAGCCACACUGGGACUGAGACACGGCCCAGACUCCUACGGGAGGCAGCAGUUGGGAAUCUUGGACAAUGGGGGAAACCCUGAUCCAGCCAUGCCGCGUGAGUGGUGAAGGCCUUCGGUUGUAAAC